CUCUUUCAAUUUGUCUUUUAGUUUGGAAUGUGGAAUACUUGUGUAAAGAGAAGAAAAGUCAAAUGUUUUAAUACUGUUACAAGAUGAAAGAGAGUUAGAUUGUAUGUACUCUGACUAGAAGAUCUUUGGAAUUUUUAAGUAUCCACAUCUGAUUCACGCCACCUCUAGAAUAGGCCGUUUUACAAUAACUUUGAAGCCUGUCUUUG
RNAcentral lists this long non-coding RNA (206 nucleotides) under Mytilus galloprovincialis (Mediterranean mussel). The record is from RNAcentral. Lineage: Eukaryota; Metazoa; Mollusca; Bivalvia; Mytilida; Mytilidae.